AAUAUUUGACCAUGGGCGAAAGCCUGAUCCAGCCAUGCCGCGUGUGUGAAGAAGGUCUUCGGGUUGUAAAGCACUUUUAGUUGGGAGGAAGGGCAGUAAGAUAAUACCUUGCUGUUUUGACGAUCCCGGCACAAUAAGCACCGGCUAACUUCGUGUCGCCAGCGUCGGCAAUACGAACGGGGCAAACGUUAAUCGGAAUUACUGGGCGUAAAGAGGGCGUAGGUGGUUUGUUAAGUUGGAAGUGAAAGCCCCGGGCUCAACCUGGGAACCGCUUUCAAAACUGGCAAGCUAGAGUAUGGCAGAGGGUGGUGGAAUUUCCUGUGUAGCGGUGAAAUGCGUAGAUAUAGGAAGAAACACCAGUGGCGAAGGCGACCACCUGGGCUAAUACUGACACUGAGGUGCGAAAGCGUGGGGAGCAAACA
This 422-nucleotide ribosomal RNA is filed under the name uncultured bacterium. RNAcentral describes it as "partial 16S ribosomal RNA". It matches the Rfam family "Bacterial small subunit ribosomal RNA", at positions 360 to 774 of the family's 1533-position model. The record is from RNAcentral.